Molecule: small nuclear RNA, 106 nt
Organism: Myotis lucifugus (little brown bat)
Lineage: Eukaryota; Metazoa; Chordata; Mammalia; Chiroptera; Vespertilionidae
Source: Ensembl
GUGCUCACUUCAGCAGCACAUAUACUAAAAUUGGAAGGACACAGAGAAAAUUAGCACAGCCCUGCACAAGGAUGACAUGCAAAUUCACGAAGUGUUCGAUUUUUUU